GUCGAACGUGAAGCCCGGUACCUAGUAUUGGGUGGAAAGUGGCGAACGGGUGAGUAACACGUUGGUGACCUGCCCUGAGGAGGGGAAUAACCGUGGGAAACCACGGCUAAUACCCCGGAUGUCUAAGCUGUUAGAGGGCUUAGACUAAAGCCCCUGCAAGGGGUGCGCCUCGGGAGGGGCCUGCGGGCUAUCAGCUUGUUGGUGGGGUAAUGGCUUACCAAGGCGAAGACGGCUAGGGGGCGUGAGAGCGCGACCCCCCACAAUGGAACUGAGACACGGUCCAUACUCCUACGGGAGGCAGCAGUGAGGAAUAUUGCGCAAUGGGGGCAACCCUGACGCAGCAACGCCGCGUGGACGAUGAAGGCCUUCGGGUUGUAAAGUCCUUUUCUGAAGGAAGAUAGUGACGGUACUUCAGGAAUAAGUCCCGGCUAACUACGUGCCAGCAGCCGCGGUAAAACGUAGGGGGCGAGCGUUAUCCGGAUUUACUGGGCGUAAAGCGCACGUAGGCGGCAUCGUAAGUUGGACGUGAAAGCUCCCGGCUCAACUGGGAGAGGUCGUUCAAAACUGUGGUGCUUGAGGUUGAUAGAGGAGAGUGGAAUUCCCGGUGUAGUGGUGGAAUGCGUAGAUAUCGGGAGGAACACCAGUGGCGAAGGCGGCUCUCUAGGUCACACCUGACGCUGAGGUGCGAAAGCGUGGGGAGCGAACGGGAUUAGAUACCCCGGUAGUCCACGCUGUAAACGAUGGAUACUAGGUGUGGGAGGUUAUUAACCCCUUCUGUGCCCGUAGCUAACGCGUUAAGUAUCCCGCCUGGGGACUACGCCCGCAAGGUUAANACUCAAAGGAAUUGACGGGGGCCCGCACAAGCAGCGGAGCGUGUGGUUUAAUUCGAUGAUACGCGAAGAACCUUACGUGGGCUAGACAUGGUGGUAGUAGUGAAGCGAAAGCGGAACGACCCUUCGGGGAGCCAUCACAGGUGCUGCAUGGCUGUCGUCAGCUCGUGUCGUGAGAUGUUGGGUUAAGUCCCGCAACGAGCGCAACCCUCGUCGCUAGUUAUAUGUGUCUAGUGAGACUGCCGGUAUCAAACCGGAGGAAGGUGGGGAUGACGUCAAGUCAGCAUGGUCUUUAUGUCCAGGGCUACACACACGCUACAAUGGCC
Molecule: ribosomal RNA, 1156 nt
Filed under: uncultured organism
Description: bacterial SSU rRNA
Rfam family: Bacterial small subunit ribosomal RNA
Source: RNAcentral